CAUUAACCCAGCAAGAAUGGUCUCCUAAGCCCGCCACGUACCCUUCCUCUGCUGACACGUUUCAAUAGCGACUGCUUUCUCUGCAUUUCCCAUUAUCCCUUAGAAACAGCAAUCCAAAUCAACAGACCUCUCAUUUCUAACCUCCUCUUUCUGGUUAUUGCAAGGUUCCAUGUUGAGAUCAAUAGCACACUUGCAAUUUUAUUAAUUCAUUAGAAAGAGAUGGGAAAGUGCGUGAUAAUGAUGAUGGCAGCAGCGAUGGUGGUGGUGUUAUGGGCGGCGGUAUCGGUGGAUGUAGGAUGGUGCAAGGAUGCUGUGAAUAUGGCUGCAAGUAAUGUGGAGGUGAAGGCGAAAGAGAUGAAGCAGAAAGCAGCCAUGCAGGGUGUCAAGGAAAAGGCCGACUCCUGGUCUGACUGGGCUUAUGGGAAGUUCUCAGGGGGGCUUGGAUUGAAAGGAAAUGACGCCAGAGAAGCAGCUCAAAACCUAAUGGAUAGAGCCUCAAGGACCUCAGAUACAGUGAAACGUGCCGCAUCUGGUAAUUAUUUAUCCUCCGUAAUAUUUUUUGGUCCAAAUUUAGUUUUUUUGAACAAUAAUUUUCUUUUGCUUGUUGAUUUUGUUUAUUUCUUCCAGAAGCUUCAAGGCGUGCUUCUGAAAAGAAAGGCAAGGCAGAUCAGGUUAUAAGAAUGGCUUCAGAUAGAGCUAGUGAUGCCAGAGAAGCAAUGGCAGGAGCAAUGAACUAUGGGAAAGAUAAAAAUGACGCCUAUGACAUGGCUUCAAAUUGGGUUAGUGAUUCCAAAGAUGCAAUGGCAGAAGGAAUGCAUUAUGGUCGAAGCAGACUUGGUAAGGCUUAUGAAGAAGCAAUGAAGCAUGGAAAAGAGAGAGCAGCUCAUGUUCAUGAUGAAGCUAAGCAGCAAUUUAAUAAGGCUAAAGGAGCAAUGGAAAGUGGAAUGGGGUAUAGAAGAUGGGACGAGAUGGAUGUCUUUGAGGAAGCUAUAAAUAAAGUCGGAGAGGCAUGCAUGACGGCCAAGGAAACAAUGAAUUUUCAGGGCAAGUCUAAGUAUGAAGCUGCCAAGGAGAGAAUGUCGAAGGACACUGCAGAUCAUUGAGUAGAAGUACCACUUUCUACAUGCUAUCUUCAUCAGUGAGUCAUUGACAUCAGUCUGUUUGCAUCUUUAGUUCUCAUAACAUGUUCUCUGAGACAUCAUUUAGAAGUCGUGUCUAGCUAUGGGGUUCAAAUUCAAGAUGGACUUAUGGUUUUCUAUUUUCAUUGUAUAUUAUAGUCCAGGAACUGAACUCAUGAGUACUUUCUGCUCGCAAUGAGGUAGAUGUGUUUAAGAAACUUGGUGAUGGUAUAGACUAGACUUGGCAAAUGACAACUAACGGAUUUCAAUAACAUUUGGGGGAAAUAACAAUUCAGGCAGCUGGAGAUAUAUAGAACAGAAAUAUGCAUGCGGGGAGGGAAACUAUAUGUUAUGCUGCAAAACACUGGAGUAAUUAUAAUAAGAAAAGGGGGUAUUUGAGUGAACUAUGAGGAAUCUUGGUGUGUAAUUGAUCCCACUUGUUAUAAAUAAGGAUUAUUUUUUCCUCCUAGUUGGCCAUCUCUAGCAUAAUGAUUUUUCAAAAAUAUUCUUGUAAUUUUACUAAUGGC
Molecule: unclassified non-coding RNA, 1645 nt
Filed under: Hevea brasiliensis (rubber tree)
Lineage: Eukaryota; Viridiplantae; Streptophyta; Magnoliopsida; Malpighiales; Euphorbiaceae
Source: RNAcentral